This is a long non-coding RNA of Magallana angulata, 292 nucleotides long. RefSeq lists it as uncharacterized. The record is from RefSeq and is a predicted model, not a curated record. The transcript has 3 exons. NCBI's taxonomy places the organism in Eukaryota, Metazoa, Mollusca, Bivalvia, Ostreida, Ostreidae.
UUAAAUUGAAAAUGGCAACUACAUUUUCGUUUUUAUUGCUAGAUAUUGUCAACUAUACCGGAUGAACUUAUCUCUGGGAUUGACGGAGGGGUUGAUACUGCCUUUGCCAGUAAUUCUGAAACAAAUAACUUAGCCUCAUCAUGCACUGCGGUCCAAUCAGAAACUUCCGUUGGAAUUCCAUCCUUCAUUGUAGAAGAAGUUGACGUUCCGGAAGAAGCUCCAAGUGUACAUGUGUCCGGGCCUUCCACCGACACAUUCUUAGCUUCAACUCUGUAUGGAUCUAAACGUAAAG